This 23-nucleotide microRNA is filed under the name Dasypus novemcinctus (nine-banded armadillo). RNAcentral describes it as "dno-miR-1193-3p". The record is from miRBase by way of RNAcentral. Lineage: Eukaryota; Metazoa; Chordata; Mammalia; Cingulata; Dasypodidae.
UGUAGGUCUCCCGUGUGACUACC